UCAGGACGAACGCUGGCGGCGUGCCUAAUACAUGCAAGUCGAGCGGAGUUAUUCCUUCGGGGAUAACUUAGCGGCGGACGGGUGAGUAACACGUAGGCAACCUGCCUGUAAGAUCGGGAUAACUACCGGAAACGGUAGCUAAGACCGGAUAAUCAGCUUGGUCGCAUGAUUGGGCUGGGAAAAGCGGAGCAAUCUGCUACUUACAGAUGGGCCUGCGGCGCAUUAGCUAGUUGGUGAGGUAACGGCUCACCAAGGCGACGAUGCGUAGCCGACCUGAGAGGGUGAACGGCCACACUGGGACUGAGACACGGCCCAGACUCCUACGGGAGGCAGCAGUAGGGAAUCUUCCGCAAUGGACGCAAGUCUGACGGAGCAACGCCGCGUGAGUGAUGAAGGUUUUCGGAUCGUAAAGCUCUGUUGCCAGGGAAGAACGCUUGGGAGAGUAACUGCUCUCAAGGUGACGGACC
This 467-nucleotide ribosomal RNA is filed under the name Paenibacillus sp. F3. RNAcentral describes it as "bacterial SSU rRNA". It matches the Rfam family "Bacterial small subunit ribosomal RNA", at positions 24 to 478 of the family's 1533-position model. Lineage: Bacteria; Bacillati; Bacillota; Bacilli; Caryophanales; Paenibacillaceae. The record is from RNAcentral.